RNAcentral lists this ribosomal RNA (2279 nucleotides) under Escherichia coli. RNAcentral describes it as "bacterial LSU rRNA". It matches the Rfam family "Bacterial large subunit ribosomal RNA", at positions 548 to 2812 of the family's 2925-position model. Lineage: Bacteria; Pseudomonadati; Pseudomonadota; Gammaproteobacteria; Enterobacterales; Enterobacteriaceae. The record is from RNAcentral.
ACCUGAAACCGUGUACGUACAAGCAGUGGGAGCCUCUUAAUGGGGUGACUGCGUACCUUUUGUAUAAUGGGUCAGCGACUUAUAUUCUGUAGCAAGGUUAACCGAAUAGGGGAGCCGAAGGGAAACCGAGUCUUAACUGGGCGUUAAGUUGCAGGGUAUAGACCCGAAACCCGGUGAUCUAGCCAUGGGCAGGUUGAAGGUUGGGUAACACUAACUGGAGGACCGAACCGACUAAUGUUGAAAAAUUAGCGGAUGACUUGUGGCUGGGGGUGAAAGGCCAAUCAAACCGGGAGAUAGCUGGUUCUCCCCGAAAGCUAUUUAGGUAGCGCCUCGUGAAUUCAUCUCCGGGGGUAGAGCACUGUUUCGGCAAGGGGGUCAUCCCGACUUACCAACCCGAUGCAAACUGCGAAUACCGGAGAAUGUUAUCACGGGAGACACACGGCGGGUGCUAACGUCCGUCGUGAAGAGGGAAACAACCCAGACCGCCAGCUAAGGUCCCAAAGUCAUGGUUAAGUGGGAAACGAUGUGGGAAGGCCCAGACAGCCAGGAUGUUGGCUUAGAAGCAGCCAUCAUUUAAAGAAAGCGUAAUAGCUCACUGGUCGAGUCGGCCUGCGCGGAAGAUGUAACGGGGCUAAACCAUGCACCGAAGCUGCGGCAGCGACACUAUGUGUUGUUGGGUAGGGGAGCGUUCUGUAAGCCUGUGAAGGUGGCCUGUGAGGGUUGCUGGAGGUAUCAGAAGUGCGAAUGCUGACAUAAGUAACGAUAAAGCGGGUGAAAAGCCCGCUCGCCGGAAGACCAAGGGUUCCUGUCCAACGUUAAUCGGGGCAGGGUGAGUCGACCCCUAAGGCGAGGCCGAAAGGCGUAGUCGAUGGGAAACAGGUUAAUAUUCCUGUACUUGGUGUUACUGCGAAGGGGGGACGGAGAAGGCUAUGUUGGCCGGGCGACGGUUGUCCCGGUUUAAGCGUGUAGGCUGGUUUUCCAGGCAAAUCCGGAAAACCAAGGCUGAGGCGUGAUGACGAGGCACUACGGUGCUGAAGUGACAAAUGCCCUGCUUCCAGGAAAAGCCUCUAAGCAUCAGGUAACAUCAAAUCGUACCCCAAACCGACACAGGUGGUCAGGUAGAGAAUACCAAGGCGCUUGAGAGAACUCGGGUGAAGGAACUAGGCAAAAUGGUGCCGUAACUUCGGGAGAAGGCACGCUGAUAUGUAGGUGAAGCGACUUGCUCGUGGAGCUGAAAUCAGUCGAAGAUACCAGCUGGCUGCAACUGUUUAUUAAAAACACAGCACUGUGCAAACACGAAAGUGGACGUAUACGGUGUGACGCCUGCCCGGUGCCGGAAGGUUAAUUGAUGGGGUUAGCGGUAACGCGAAGCUCUUGAUCGAAGCCCCGGUAAACGGCGGCCGUAACUAUAACGGUCCUAAGGUAGCGAAAUUCCUUGUCGGGUAAGUUCCGACCUGCACGAAUGGCGUAAUGAUGGCCAGGCUGUCUCCACCCGAGACUCAGUGAAAUUGAACUCGCUGUGAAGAUGCAGUGUACCCGCGGCAAGACGGAAAGACCCCGUGAACCUUUACUAUAGCUUGACACUGAACAUUGAGCCUUGAUGUGUAGGAUAGGUGGGAGGCUUUGAAGUGUGGACGCCAGUCUGCAUGGAGCCGACCUUGAAAUACCACCCUUUAAUGUUUGAUGUUCUAACGUUGGCCCGUAAUCCGGGUUGCGGACAGUGUCUGGUGGGUAGUUUGACUGGGGCGGUCUCCUCCUAAAGAGUAACGGAGGAGCACGAAGGUUGGCUAAUCCUGGUCGGACAUCAGGAGGUUAGUGCAAUGGCAUAAGCCAGCUUGACUGCGAGCGUGACGGCGCGAGCAGGUGCGAAAGCAGGUCAUAGUGAUCCGGUGGUUCUGAAUGGAAGGGCCAUCGCUCAACGGAUAAAAGGUACUCCGGGGAUAACAGGCUGAUACCGCCCAAGAGUUCAUAUCGACGGCGGUGUUUGGCACCUCGAUGUCGGCUCAUCACAUCCUGGGGCUGAAGUAGGUCCCAAGGGUAUGGCUGUUCGCCAUUUAAAGUGGUACGCGAGCUGGGUUUAGAACGUCGUGAGACAGUUCGGUCCCUAUCUGCCGUGGGCGCUGGAGAACUGAGGGGGGCUGCUCCUAGUACGAGAGGACCGGAGUGGACGCAUCACUGGUGUUCGGGUUGUCAUGCCAAUGGCACUGCCCGGUAGCUAAAUGCGGAAGAGAUAAGUGCUGAAAGCAUCUAAGCACGAAACUUGCCCCGAGAUGAGUUCU